AUUUAGGUAACUUAAUUAAAAGUAAAACAUUGAAAAUGUUUCUAUACGUUCACAUGUCUUAAAUA
Molecule: transfer RNA, 65 nt
Filed under: Chloriona tateyamana
Lineage: Eukaryota; Metazoa; Arthropoda; Insecta; Hemiptera; Delphacidae
Description: tRNA-Phe
Source: RNAcentral